AUGAUCAUGGGACUUAAACAAGCUUCAGUGCUCAUUUAGUUGACUCCCUUCGUAUUCUAGAAAAGGAAAGAGAAGAAUAAAGGGCGUGACUAGCCUGAAGUCAUGCAGUGAGUUCACGACACAAGUGGAUUCCACUGGGGUCUUCAGACACCCAGAUUGGUGUUCUUUCCACUGAAGGAAAUUGCAUGCUUCAGGAGUCCAGGCUCAAGAGGACCUCUGACCCAAUUUCAGAACUGACUUUGAUUCUUCACUUCAGAUGGAAAUUAAGAUUGUGGAGAAGCCACGUCACCUGCUACUGCUCCCCCUGACUCGCUUUUGCUGGUGGCUUUGUAGUUUGGAACAAUGUGCACUGGGCCGAAGUCCCGGGGAACUCUGAGCUGGAGGUUGGAGCAUCACCAAAGAGGAGUGGAAAACUUGAUCUGGUUGCCAUGGAGACCAGCCACUGACUUCAGAGUGCCUGUUUAUUAAAGAUGAAAGUAAUGUAUGCCUGGCUGAUCUGAGCAGCUGUCAGAGAUUCGGCUGUUAGCAGAGGAAGUCACUAAUUUCGAGGCAUAAUCACUCAUCUAAGAGAGAGACGGCCCCCCUUCAUCUUCCGCGUGGAGCUGGGCUGUGUGGUCUCCCCCAGGUGCACGAGAGGAAAAGAGGUGGGGCCGAGCCCCGCAGAGAGCAGACUAGAUGAUUUUGCGUGCGCUUCGACAGGGUGAAAUCUGAGAGCAAAUCUGAAUCCCAAGAUGCAUGAUAAUGGUUCACUAAGUGCUCUCCAAAGCCCAGGGUGCAAGCCGGGCUCAUCGCUGCUGGGCUGUGAGGAGCGGCAGGAGGCAGUAGGCUGCUGGGAGCUGAUCCCCACCGUCUCGUCAUAGCGCAGCCAACUGGCUCAUCCUUUCUGCCUGCAGUUCCCUCAUCCGAAAGAGAAGUGAUGAGUAAGCUAAUUCUAACUAGGCUUUCAUUCCACAGAUGCUUAAGUGUGGGCUUCCCUGAACAGAAAAGGCUCCUGACACUGGACCGCUGGACAAGGGUUAGCCCCGUCUAGGUCACUGUUAACCAAGUACGAUGUGUACCUCUGGUCAAAGCUGUCUUAGGCCAAGGUCAGUGCUUGUUUGCAUCUCUUGGCAUCAGUGUGGCCGUCUGGGCAGGAGCUCCCAUCCCAUCUCUCCUGAGCGGCCUGGUGUUUGGGAAUGAAGAUGGGACAUGAAGCUAAGGAAGGGAAUACAACCCACCAGGAGUAUCUUUUAGGUGGAGAAAGAGAAAUGGAGUGAAGUGAGCACAUUGGGACCGCUCAGACCUAAGCGUUCUAAUCCUAAAUCCCCCAGGAGCCUGGAUGUUACACGUUCAAUGACAUGAUGCCGAUAAAUUAUAUCUGGUGGAUCAGUAAGAUGAAGCCCAUAGACACGUUUCAAUAAACGGAAUCUACAAGUGGAUUAAACUGUCCAAGGAAGACCUUUUCUUUUCCAAACUCCUUUCCUUUUUCAAACUGAGAGAUAUUAAGGAAACUCAUUUCAGCUUUGUUGGUAGUCUUGUUUUGUUUUGCUUUGUUAAAGGAAGACAGGAGGAACCAAAUCGUAGGUGCUGCGGUGGGGACUGGAAACUGACACAGCACUACGCUGGUGUGGGGCAGAGCUGUACGGAGGGAAAGCCACUUUGUCCCUGUUUGAGGCCAAGGGAAGCCAUGAUCUUUUAAGAAACUCGUAGAAAUUCCCACCAAGAGAAAAUUAGUAUGGAAUUCUGUAAGCAAUUUCCUUCCUUUCACAGAAUUCACAACCUAAAAUGUAAGAGCCCAGGGGUGCCUGGCUGGCUUUGUCAGUGGAGACUGCGACUCUUGAUCUCCGGGUUGUGGGAUCGAGCCCCACGUUGGGUGUAAGAGAUGAUGUAAAAAUAAAAUCUGAAAAGAAAAAAAAAAAAGUAAAAGCCUAUUCUUUGGUAGUUCUUCUAGAGGUUUGAUGUGAGGGAGCCGCAGAUCCAUAACUCGCGGGCCAGGCUCAUCCUGGGUUCCUUUCCUGGCCACAGACAGAAGUGAAUCACAUUCACUGCUUCCAAAUGCAGAUGCUGUUUCCUCUCAUCCUAGCAAGAAUUCAGGCAACCUUGAUUUCAUCGGGCAUAUGUCAUCAGUCCGCUUAUCAAAGUCUCAAGCGGGACUACCCUUAAGUGAUCUGUGCUUAAAAAGUACCUCACCCCUAUCCCCCUAACCAAGGGGCUGAAAAGGACCACUCAAUCACCUGCAGAAAGACCGUGAAUCGCCGGCAUCCUCUUGCCUGCCUGAGAACUCGGGCAUCUUAUACAUUUGAUUCUUGUUUCUCUGCUCUCCUUUGGGCUGACACUCAGAGCCAGGCCUCGUGGUUGUUUAUCAGUUGUCCAAGGCUAUUUUAAAGAUUUCUGCUUUCAUUUAUAACAUAAGUCACAUUCUUCUUGCAUCCGCUGCUGUAUUUUCCAAAGGGGUUGUGUCAAAGGAAA
Long non-coding RNA from Ailuropoda melanoleuca (giant panda), 2448 nucleotides. RefSeq lists it as uncharacterized. The transcript has 6 exons. NCBI's taxonomy places the organism in Eukaryota, Metazoa, Chordata, Mammalia, Carnivora, Ursidae. The record is from RefSeq and is a predicted model, not a curated record.